Molecule: long non-coding RNA, 394 nt
Filed under: Cricetulus griseus (Chinese hamster)
Lineage: Eukaryota; Metazoa; Chordata; Mammalia; Rodentia; Cricetidae
Description: lncRNA (ENSCGRG00015038172.1)
Source: RNAcentral
GGACACACCUGGGGCGUUUGAACUUUUCACAGAGGUCGUUGGAACAUUCUGUCGUUAUUCCAGGAGCUGUUAUUUUUUUCCAUGAGAGUUCCGGGAGCGGCCACCUGCAGGGGACGGGAGCACCCAAGGUGACGAGCCCAUGUUCUUAUAGACAGCUAGUAAUUUUUUACUCUUCAGAAGCAAUAUCUGGGAAAUAUUAACAGUGACACAGGUUUUUGUUAUGUGUAAGUGACUGGUGAAAGGUAAAUGAAUUGUAAGGGAUUCUCCUGUGUAGCAUGGGCUGAACAACAAACAAAAUGAAAAGAACUAGCACGGACACCUUCUUAAUGCAGCAAGAGCCCUCAUCCAGUGGCUGAUGGAAGCAGAGACAGACAUCCACAAAAAUAUACUCAAC